CCAACCUUAGCUCAGUUGGUAGAGCGGAGGACUGUAGAUCCUUAGGUCACUGAUUCGAAUCCGGUAGGUUGGA
Molecule: transfer RNA, 73 nt
Filed under: Brassica napus (rape)
Lineage: Eukaryota; Viridiplantae; Streptophyta; Magnoliopsida; Brassicales; Brassicaceae
Description: tRNA-Tyr (GTA) (tRNA-Tyr-GTA-14-1, tRNA-Tyr-GTA-14-2)
Rfam family: tRNA
About the family: Transfer RNA (tRNA) molecules are approximately 80 nucleotides in length.
Source: RNAcentral